CCGGAUACCCCCGGGCGCCGCAUGGCGCCCGGGCUAAAGCCCCGACGGGAGGGGAUGGCUCCGCGGCCCAUCAGGUAGACGGCGGGGUGACGGCCCACCGUGCCGACAACGGGUAGCCGGGUUGAGAGACCGACCGGCCAGAUUGGGACUGAGACACGGCCCAGACUCCUACGGGAGGCAGCAGUGGGGAAUCUUGCGCAAUGGGGGGAACCCUGACGCAGCGACGCCGCGUGCGGGACGGAGGCCUUCGGGUCGUAAACCGCUUUCAGCAGGGAAGAGUCAAGACUGUACCUGCAGAAGAAGCCCCGGCUAACUACGUGCCAGCAGCCGCGGUAAUACGUAGGGGGCGAGCGUUAUCCGGAUUCAUUGGGCGUAAAGCGCGCGUAGGCGGCCCGGCAGGCCGGGGGUCGAAGCGGGGGGCUCAACCCCCCGAAGCCCCCGGAACCUCCGCGGCUUGGGUCCGGUAGGGGAGGGUGGAACACCCGGUGUAGCGGUGGAAUGCGCAGAUAUCGGGUGGAACACCGGUGGCGAAGGCGGCCCUCUGGGCCGAGACCGACGCUGAGGCGCGAAAGCUGGGGGAGCGAACAGGAUUAGAUACCCUGGUAGUCCCAGCCGUAAACGA
Molecule: ribosomal RNA, 622 nt
Filed under: uncultured bacterium
Lineage: Bacteria
Description: bacterial SSU rRNA
Rfam family: Bacterial small subunit ribosomal RNA
Source: RNAcentral